RNAcentral lists this ribosomal RNA (402 nucleotides) under uncultured bacterium. RNAcentral's name for it is "bacterial SSU rRNA". It matches the Rfam family "Bacterial small subunit ribosomal RNA", at positions 28 to 417 of the family's 1533-position model. The record is from RNAcentral.
GACGAACGCUGGCGGCGUGCCUAACACAUGCAAGUCAGGGAGAAAGAGGUAGCAAUAUCUCGAGUAAACCGGCGAACGGGUGAGUAACACGUAGGUAACCUGCCCUCGAGUUGGGAAUAACUUCGAGAAAUCGAGGCUAAUACCGGAUAAUGCAACGAACUCGCAUGGGUUUGUUGUUAAAGUUCCGCGCAAGCGGAACGCUUGAGGAUGGACCUGCGGCCGAUUAGCUAGUUGGCGGAGUAACAGCCCACCAAGGCGACGAUCGGUAGCCGACCUGAGAGGGUGACCGGCCACACUGGGACUGAGAUACGGCCCAGGACUCCUACGGGAGGCAGCAGUGAGGAAUAUUGGGUCAAUGGCCGAAAGGCUGAACCAGCGACGCCGCGUGAGUGAAGAAGGCCU